GUGUUUGGUUUGUUUGGGUUGGUUGGAUCCCUGCUUGAGCAGCGACAACCCGUCCAUCUCACCUCUUCAAUCAUGCUCCAAGAGCGACAAGCCUUGGAUGACAUCGGUUUUCUGUGUUGCAUACCUACAUUGAUGGAAUUGUCCCUUGUACAUCUGUCCCUUUUUCGUCUUGCGCUGCUCUGGCGGUACGGGAUGAACCAAAAAGUGCCCCUCGUUGUCUUUUCCCGCCUUGCGUUUGCGUGGCGCGCGAAACGGCCAACGUUUGACACUCGAAUUCUCGGAUACGGAAACUUAAGCGGUCAAAAAGGGACCCCGGUCUCGAUUUGCCCAAACUGAGCUUUCUCGCUUCUUACGAACGACUGUCGGCGCUGUUUUGAGAUGCGGAUACUUUUGGUCCUACAAGCUCAUGCGGUGUCGGCGUCGAAGAUGAAUG
This 433-nucleotide unclassified non-coding RNA is filed under the name Hydrocotyle pilifera. Its description in RNAcentral is "partial external transcribed spacer". Lineage: Eukaryota; Viridiplantae; Streptophyta; Magnoliopsida; Apiales; Araliaceae. The record is from RNAcentral.